AGCAACUUAAUGCUUGUGUUACACGUAACAGCCGACUGUUAUAACUAUAUUUCUUUGAUAAAUAUACAUAGAAAUAAUACAUAUCUAUAAUAUAUAUAAAAGCGAAAGGUCACUCACUCAUCACGAAAUCUCCGAAACUAUAACACCUACAAACUUGAAAUUUGGCAGGUAGGCUCCUUACAGGGCGUAGACAUCCGUUAAG
This 202-nucleotide unclassified non-coding RNA is filed under the name Melitaea cinxia (Glanville fritillary). RNAcentral describes it as "misc RNA ENSMCXG00005022441.1". Lineage: Eukaryota; Metazoa; Arthropoda; Insecta; Lepidoptera; Nymphalidae. The record is from RNAcentral.